Long non-coding RNA from Gossypium raimondii (Peruvian cotton), 731 nucleotides. RefSeq lists it as uncharacterized. Lineage: Eukaryota; Viridiplantae; Streptophyta; Magnoliopsida; Malvales; Malvaceae. The record is from RefSeq and is a predicted model, not a curated record. The transcript is spliced from 2 exons.
UUUCUCCAGCAAUGGUUUCAAAGCACACUAGGCACAGUUUCAAGUUUCAAGUACUAAAGGAGACAUUAAGAGUAUAAGCUCGUGGGUUUUCUCUAACAAGUGUCCUAAUGAUACUACAAUUAAAUGCAGCAGUUGACAGAGUCUGAGGAAGGUUCAUAAGAAUGCUCUAAAACAUCCCCACCAAAGAAAAAAGGGAAAAAAAAAGAAGUGAAAUUAUAGGAAUAUAGAGAUAGAGUGGAGCUGAAAAAGUUACCAGGGGGAUUAUAAAGUCCAGAACAUGGUGUUGGUGGGUUGGUCUUGAAGUUGUUCGAUGGAAUUACUAGGAGGGAUUUGAGGUCGUGAUGAACAAUAAGAGAAAACAGAGCAUUUCCAAUCGCUAGCGAGAGUGAGUGCCUGUUCAAACCCGCAACACUUGGAGGAUUCAUAAGAGAUGAAGCCAACCAUUGUUGGAGAAGCAGAAAGAGAGGAAAUUGGAGAAGACUCAAGGGGUGAAGAUGGUGGUUGACGGCGGAGAAACGAUUGAAGAAGCAUAAUUGUUAGAGAGAUCUUGGAGGCUGGUGUUGGAGAAGAAGAUGCCGAUGGUGGUGGUUUCAACUGAUGAACAGUGAUGAUGAUUGAAACAAGAACCAAAGCUACGUGUUUAAAUUUGGUUGGUUUUGGUUUAAAACAAAAGCUGACAUGGAAUUUUUACUUUUUUAUAAAAAUUUUAAUUUAAGUAUAAUUUGUAAUAA